UCGACGGAGUUGUUAUUCAGAAGUUCUUCGGGAUGGAAGGAUAAGAACUUAGUGGCGGACGGGUGAGUAACGCGUGGGUAACCUGCCCUUUUGUGGGGAACAACUUCGAGAAAUCGGAGCUAAUACCGCAUAAUAAUAGAGGAUCGCAUGAUUCUUUAAGGAAAGAUGGCCUCUGAAGAUGCUAUCGCAAAAGGAUGGACCCGCGUCUGAUUAGCUAGUUGGAAGGGUAACGGCCUACCAAGGCAACGAUCAGUAGCCGGCCUGAGAGGGUGAACGGCCACAUUGGGACUGAGACACGGCCCAAACUCCUACGGGAGGCAGCAGUGGGGAAUCUUCCGCAAUGGGCGAAAGCCUGACGGAGCAAUGCCGCGUGAGUGAAGAAGGCCUUCGGGUUGUAAAACUCUGUCCUUAUCGAAGAGAGGUAGGUAUGUGAAUAAUGUACCUAUAGGACGGUAGAUAAGGAGGAAGCCCCGGCUAACUACGUGCCAGCAGCCGCGGUAAUACGUAGGGGGCGAGCGUUGUCCGGAAUCACUGGGCGUAAAGGGCGCGUAGGCGGUUUAAUAAGUCAGUGGUGAAAACUGAGGGCUCAACCCUCAGCCUGCCACUGAUACUGUUAGACUUGAGUAUGGAAGAGGAGAAUGGAAUUCCUAGUGUAGCGGUGAAAUGCGUAGAUAUUAGGAGGAACACCAGUGGCGAAGGCGAUUCUCUGGGCCAAGACUGACGCUGAGGCGCGAAAGCGUGGGGAGCAAACAGGAUUAGAUACCCUGGUAGUCCACGCCGUANACGAUGGAUACUAGGUGUUAGUNGUUUCGAUGCUACUAGUGCCGGAGUAAACACAAUAAGUAUCCCGCCUGGGGAGUACGGUCGCAAGACUGAAACUCAAAGGAAUUGACGGGG
This 897-nucleotide ribosomal RNA is filed under the name uncultured bacterium. RNAcentral describes it as "bacterial SSU rRNA". It matches the Rfam family "Bacterial small subunit ribosomal RNA", at positions 62 to 918 of the family's 1533-position model. The record is from RNAcentral.